This 550-nucleotide ribosomal RNA is filed under the name uncultured bacterium. RNAcentral describes it as "bacterial SSU rRNA". It matches the Rfam family "Bacterial small subunit ribosomal RNA", at positions 355 to 896 of the family's 1533-position model. The record is from RNAcentral.
UAGGGAAUCUUCCGCAAUGGACGAAAGUCUGACGGAGCAACGCCGCGUGAGUGAUGAAGGCUUUCGGGUCGUAAAACUCUGUUGUUAGGGAAGAACAAGUACAAGAGUAACUGCUUGUACCUUGACGGUACCUAACCAGAAAGCCACGGCUAACUACGUGCCAGCAGCCGCGGUAAUACGUAGGUGGCAAGCGUUAUCCGGAAUUAUUGGGCGUAAAGCGCGCGCAGGCGGUUUCUUAAGUCUGAUGUGAAAGCCCACGGCUCAACCGUGGAGGGUCAUUGGAAACUGGGGAACUUGAGUGCAGAAGAGAAAAGCGGAAUUCCACGUGUAGCGGUGAAAUGCGUAGAGAUGUGGAGGAACACCAGUGGCGAAGGCGGCUUUUUGGUCUGUAACUGACGCUGAGGCGCGAAAGCGUGGGGAGCAAACAGGAUUAGAUACCCUGGUAGUCCACGCCGUAAACGAUGAGUGCUAAGUGUUAGAGGGUUUCCGCCCUUUAGUGCUGCAGCUAACGCAUUAAGCACUCCGCCUGGGGAGUACGGUCGCAAGACUG